Molecule: small nuclear RNA, 120 nt
Organism: Aotus nancymaae (Ma's night monkey)
Lineage: Eukaryota; Metazoa; Chordata; Mammalia; Primates; Aotidae
Source: Ensembl
AUUGCGCUUCUGUCCAGUGAGCACAUAAUGAGGGCAACUGAGGGCAAUACUGCUAACCCCAAACACAACACACCCACAUCAACUAGAGCUUUGUUUUACCUUGAUGCAAGUUUUGGAAAA